RNAcentral lists this ribosomal RNA (280 nucleotides) under uncultured diatom. Its description in RNAcentral is "partial 18S ribosomal RNA". It matches the Rfam family "Eukaryotic small subunit ribosomal RNA", at positions 598 to 888 of the family's 1831-position model. The record is from RNAcentral. Lineage: Eukaryota; Bacillariophyta.
CGUAUAUUAAAGUUGUUGCAGUUAAAAAGCUCGUAGUUGGAUUUGUGGUUGAUCGCUGGAUCCUCUUUUGAGGCGUCCGUGUGGUUGACCAUCCUUGGGUGGAUGUUGCGUGGCAUUCGGUUGUCGCGCAGGGGAUGCCCAUCGUUUACUGUGAAAAAAUCAGCGCGUUCCAAGCAGGCUUAUGCCGUUGAAUGUAUUAGCAUGGAAUAAUGAGAUAGGACCUUGGUACUAUUUUGUUGGUUUGCGCACUGGGGUAAUGAUUAAUAGGGACAGUUGGGGG